This 440-nucleotide ribosomal RNA is filed under the name uncultured bacterium. RNAcentral describes it as "partial 16S ribosomal RNA". It matches the Rfam family "Bacterial small subunit ribosomal RNA", at positions 338 to 795 of the family's 1533-position model. The record is from RNAcentral.
CCUACGGGGGGCAGCAGUGGGGAAUAUUGCGCAAUGGGCGAAAGCCUGACGCAGCGACGCCGCGUGAGGGAUGAAGGUCUUCGGUAUGUAAAGCUCUAUCAGCAGGGAAGAAAAUGACGGUACCUGAUUAAGAAGCCCCGGCUAACUACGUGCCAGCAGCCGCGGUAAUACGUAGGGGGCAAGCGUUAUCCGGAUUUACUGGGUGUAAAGGGAGCGUAGACGGCAGCGCAAGUCUGAAGUGAAAUGCCGGGGCUUAACCCCGGAACUGCUUUGGAAACUGUGCAGCUAGAGUGCAGGAGAGGUAAGUGGAAUUCCUAGUGUAGCGGUGAAAUGCGUAGAUAUUAGGAGGAACACCAGUGGCGAAGGCGGCUUACUGGACUGUAACUGACGUUGAGGCUCGAAAGCGUGGGGAGCAAACAGGAUUAGAUACCCUUGUAGUC